CAACAGGGAUUGCCUUAGUAGCGGCGAGUGAAGCGGCAAAAGCUCAAAUUUGAAAUCUGGCACUUUCAGUGUCCGAGUUGUAAUUUGAAGAAGGUAUCUUUGGGUCUGGCUCUUGUCUAUGUUUCUUGGAACAGAACGUCACAGAGGGUGAGAAUCCCGUGCGAUGAGAUGACCCAGACCUAUGUAAAGUUCCUUCGAAGAGUCGAGUUGUUUGGGAAUGCAGCUCUAAGUGGGUGGUAAAUUCCAUCUAAAGCUAAAUAUUGGCGAGAGACCGAUAGCGAACAAGUACAGUGAUGGAAAGAUGAAAAGAACUUUGAAAAGAGAGUGAAAAAGUACGUGAAAUUGUUGAAAGGGAAGGGCUUGAGAUCAGACUUGGUAUUUUGUAUGUUACUCUCUCGGGGGUGGCCUCUACAGUUUACCGGGCCAGCAUCAGUUUGGGCGGUAGGACAAUUGCAAAGAAAUGUGGCACUGCCUCGGUAGUGUGUUAUAGUCUUUGUCGAUACUGCCAGCCUAGACUGAGGACUGCGGCUUCGGCCUAGGAUGUUGGCAUAAUGAUCUUAAGUCGCCCG
This 569-nucleotide ribosomal RNA is filed under the name Lodderomyces orthopsilosis. RNAcentral's name for it is "eukaryotic LSU rRNA". It matches the Rfam family "Eukaryotic large subunit ribosomal RNA", at positions 66 to 651 of the family's 3401-position model. Lineage: Eukaryota; Fungi; Ascomycota; Pichiomycetes; Serinales; Debaryomycetaceae. The record is from RNAcentral.